This 497-nucleotide ribosomal RNA is filed under the name uncultured bacterium. RNAcentral's name for it is "partial 16S ribosomal RNA". It matches the Rfam family "Bacterial small subunit ribosomal RNA", at positions 28 to 507 of the family's 1533-position model. The record is from RNAcentral.
GAUGAACGCUGGCGGCGUGCCUAAUACAUGCAAGUCGAGCGAACAGACGAGGAGCUUGCUCCUCUGACGUUAGCGGCGGACGGGUGAGUAACACGUGGAUAACCUCCCUAUAAGACUGGGAUAAUUUCGGGAAACCGGGGCUAAUACCGGAUAAAUUUUUAAACCGCAUGGUUCAAUAGUGAAAGACGGUUUUGCUGUCACUAAUAGAUGGAUCCGCGCCGCAUUAGCUAGUUGGUAAGGUAACGGCUUACCAAGGCAACGAUGCGUAGCCGACCUGAGAGGGUGAUCGGCCACACUGGAACUGAGACACGGUCCAGACUCCUACGGGAGGCAGCAGUAGGGAAUCUUCCGCAAUGGGCGAAAGCUUGACGGAGCAACGCCGCGUGAGUGAUGAAGGUCUUCGGAUCGUAAAACUCUGUUAUUAGGGAAGAACAAAUGUGUAAGUAACUAUGCACGUCUUGACGGUACCUAAUCAGAAAGCCACGGCUAACUACGUG